UACGUAGGGUGCAAGCGUUAAUCGGAAUUACUGGGCGUAAAGCGUGCGCAGGCGGUUGUGCAAGACAGAUGUGAAAUCCCCGGGCUUAACCUGGGAACUGCAUUUGUGACUGCACGGCUAGAGUGCGGCAGAGGGGGAUGGAAUUCCUGGUGUAGCAGUGAAAUGCGUAGAUAUCAGGAGGAAUACCGAUGGCGAAGGCAGGUCUCUGGGCUGAUACUGACGCUCAUGCACGAAAGCGUGGGGAGCAAACAGG
This 253-nucleotide ribosomal RNA is filed under the name uncultured bacterium. RNAcentral's name for it is "partial 16S ribosomal RNA". It matches the Rfam family "Bacterial small subunit ribosomal RNA", at positions 524 to 776 of the family's 1533-position model. The record is from RNAcentral.